Long non-coding RNA from Neopelma chrysocephalum (saffron-crested tyrant-manakin), 369 nucleotides. RefSeq lists it as uncharacterized. The record is from RefSeq and is a predicted model, not a curated record. The transcript is spliced from 3 exons. NCBI's taxonomy places the organism in Eukaryota, Metazoa, Chordata, Aves, Passeriformes, Pipridae.
CAUGGCUCUGGAUUUGGCUGUGAUGUGAUGAGAGUGGGAAACAAGUUUCAAAGUAUGCUGACUAUAGAGGGCAUUCAAGUAAAAACAGAGCACUGGCUAUGCACAGGUCUAGUUUGAGUUUUGUUGUGAAGCACCGGAUUCAUUCAUACAUCAAAGGGAAUCUAAGGCAUCAGAGCCCACAUAGACAGAAAACAAAGGCACUGUUUACAAGGCGGAAACUUGCUGAGAGAAGCAGCUGAGUUUUGCAAGGCUCACCCACUGACUGCCACCUUGGAGAGUGCCUGGGACUGCAGGAGUACAGUGGACUUCCAGUCCUCCAGUCCCUCACAAAACUUGGAGAAGCCCCUUGUCAGUCAGAAACUUUGACAG